AUGGCGGCGCCCUACCGCCGUCUCCUCCUCCUCCGCCGCCUCUCCAUCUCCCUCUCCCAAUCCCACCUCGCCCCGCACCCCCAGCCCGCCCAGCUGCUCUCUCCCGCCCGCCACUUCGCCUUCUCCUCCGCGGAGGAGGCCGCGGCCGAGCGCCGCCGCCGCAAGCGCCGCCUCCGCAUCGAGCCGCCGCUGCACGCCCUCCGCCGCGACCCCUCCACCCCGCCGCCCCCGCGCGACCCCAACGCGCCCCGCCUCCCCGACACCACCUCCUCCCUGGUCGGCCCGCGCCUCAGCCUCCACAACCGCGUGCAGGCCCUCAUCCGCUCCGGCGACCUCGACGGCGCCGCCGCCGCCUCCCGCGCGGCCGUCUCCUCGCGCGUCCGCCCCACCGUCUUCACCUGCAACGCGGUCGCCGCCUCCAUGGUCCGCGCCGGCCGGCCCGACGACGCCGUCGAGCUCUUCGCCUUCUUCUUCCGCCGCUCCAACAUCGUCCCCAACGUCGUCUCCUACAACACCCUCAUCCUCGCCCACUGCGACGCCGCCCGCGUCGACGACGCGCUCCAGGCAUACCAGGAGAUGCUCGACGGCCUCACCUCCUUCUCCCCCUCCUCAGUCUCCUACCGCCACCUCACCAAGGGCCUCGUCGCCGCCGGCCGCGUCCAGGACGCCCUCGACCUCCUCCGUGACAUGCUCAACCGCGGCCAGGGCGCCGACUCCAUCGUCUACAAGAACCUCAUCGACGGCUACGUCGCCCUCGACGACUGGGACAAGGCCUUCCAGCUCUUCGACGAGCUCCGGGAGAAGGCCACCGUCUACGACGGCGUCGUGCACACCAGCUUCAUGGAGGGCUACUGGAAGAAAGGCAUGGACAAGGAGGCCAUGGACAGCUACAGCUCCCUUCUGGACAGGAAGUUCAAGAUGACGCCGGCCACCUGCAACGUGCUGCUCCAGACACUCUUCAGCCACGACAAGCACAAGGAGGCACACGACCUGUGGGAGACCAUGGUCGACAACCACAACCCGCCGAGCUUCAUCGGCGUCAACAGCGAGUCCUACACUGUCAUGGUCAACCAGUGCUUCAAGGAGGGCAGGUUCCAGGACGCCAUCGAGGUGUUCCACAGGCAGCCGAGGAAGAGUGUGCAGAUGGACGUCGCCUGCUUCAACAACAUCAUCGGGAAGCUCUGCGAGAACGGGAUGCUAGCAGAGACGGAGCAGCUCUUCGAGGAGAUGGAGAGCAAGUCGGUGCUUCCAGAUGUGUACACCUACACUUACCUGGUCGACUCGUGCUUCAGGGAUGGCCGUGUGGAUGAUACCAUGCAGUAUUUCCACAAAAUGGCGGACGGGAGGGAGCACGGGCCGAAGUUCAAUAUCGCUUUCUUCAAUCGGAUGUUUCAAGGGCUUACAGAAGCUGGCCGGAUUGAUGAUGUCUUGAAGGUGUAUGGAAGGAUGCCUGACAAGGAGAUUAAGCCGUCCACGGCCACCUUUGAGAUCCUGGUUAAGGCGUCCUGCAAGGAAGGGGAAUUGGAUAGAGCACGAGACCUGGUGAGGGACAUGGCCAGAGGCGGUGUUGUCGCUCCUCCUGAGUUCCGUGAGUCUAUUGUUGAGAUUUUCAAGACUGCUGAUCGCCAGGAAGAGAUUGAGCAAGCUUUUGAUGAAAAGCCAGUGCCACCACCUCCUUCGCCAAGGCCAGAGUAUCGCCCUCGGAGUCUACCUGGAUUUGCAUCUAAUCAGACGCCGGGUAGCUACGCAACUAACCAAGGCAAACUAGGCUAUGGUUCUCAACCAUUUCAUCAUGGCAAUGCUGUACCUCAAAUCCUGCGACCUGAGGGGAUGUCUUCUGAACCCCGUCAGCCUGCGUUUGGAAGCCAGCAAGUUCAGAAAACAGAAGUUGGUGCUUCUAAUACAUCACAAUAUGGGCUUCCUUCUCCUCAAGGAUCACCACCUGGGACGUCCCUGCCUCAAGGUCAUCUGCCGGAGUUUGGUUCCUCUCGUCCUUGGCAGCAAGCAGUCGGUGCUUCUCAAGUGCAACAACCUAAAUUUAGCUCGGAUUCACCGGUGCAGUCUGGAUUUGGUACUCCUCAACCGCAACAAUCAACACAUAUCGCUCAUCAGACUCAACAUGCCGGGUUUGGCACACCUCGUCCAUGGCAGACAGGGUUUGGCUCUCAGCAAGCACAGCAGCCCGGGUAUGGCUCUCAGCAAGCGCAGCAGCCAGGGUAUGGCUCUCACCAAAUGCAGCAGCCCGGAUAUGGCUCUCAGCAAGCGCAGCAGCCAGGGUAUGACUCUCAGCAAGCGCAGCAGCCCAGGUAUGGCUCUCAGCAAGGUCAACAGCCAGGAUAUGGCUCUCAGCAAGUGCAACAACCAGGAUAUGUCUCUCACCAAACGCAGCAGCCCAGGUAUGGCUCUCAGCAAGCGCAACAGCCAGGAUAUGGCUCUCAGCAAGGCAGCAGCCAGGUUAUGGCUCUCAGCAAGCGCAGCAGCUAG
RNAcentral lists this ribosomal RNA (2484 nucleotides) under Triticum aestivum (bread wheat). RNAcentral's name for it is "partial small subunit ribosomal RNA". Lineage: Eukaryota; Viridiplantae; Streptophyta; Magnoliopsida; Poales; Poaceae. The record is from RNAcentral.